This 1317-nucleotide long non-coding RNA is filed under the name Anas platyrhynchos platyrhynchos (common mallard). RNAcentral describes it as "lncRNA (ENSAPLG00000030821.1)". Lineage: Eukaryota; Metazoa; Chordata; Aves; Anseriformes; Anatidae. The record is from RNAcentral.
AUGAGCAGUGAAAUGGGUUACACUUUUUUUUUUUUUUUUUUUUUUUCAGGCCUGUUGCAAGCCAAGUACAAAGCAAACAAGAAGGGAAAUGUUGAACAUAAAAUCUGGAAGUUGCUUUUGUCCAGAAAUGUUGAUAUAAUCAGACUGAGAGGGACAGCUGGAAGCCCUGAAGAACAGUCCGGGUUACAGUCUGGCUGGAGAUCCAGGCCUUCAGGUGCGAGCAGAAAGGAAACAAGUCCACCAUCAGGACUCACCAAGAGAUCAGCCACAGAGCAGCUGCAGAGGAAAACGUGGGCUGCAGGAGAGAAGACUUGGGAAGAGGAAGCUGGUCUCCAUGUCUGUAAAUGGAUUGUCAGUGCUACCCCUGUAAUUAAUUUAAGUCCUCACAAGAAGGAGAGGUAUUUUGCUAUUUAUGUUUGUUUCUCUUUUCCACUAAGAAGGGAUGAUGUAGGUUACCACCACUCUUUCAGUCUAAAUGUCACUUCACAGCCUGAAAUAAUACGUCUCUUUUGUUACUGCCUUGUGGGAUCCAAUGACUUCAGGGAUACCUGUGGCUCAUCCUGCACCAUCCACCCCUCUUAAUUUCAAAACUGGAGACAGCUUUAGCAAGUAAGAGAAAAGUAAGUAAGAAAGGUUCACCUUCUCUGUAAAUCAAAUGCUUCAGGCAAAAGCACAUUUUAUCAGACUUGUUUUUCAAAUCCGUAGUAACUGCUUGCAUAUCAUAUUGGUUUACUGUUGGCUGAAUAUCAUAUAGCAGAAUUGUUUUAGAGGGGUAUUUUAAUUUAUUUUGUUUUAUAUUUUAUUAUCUUCAGUUGGAAUGGAGCAUGGCUGGAAUCUGAUGUCCAUACAGAUACUGAAAGAAGCUCCCAUUUAAAUAUUUGGUGACCAGCUGCCUGCAUUGUGAGGCCAGAAGCCCAUUUUGCUGGGCUACACAAGCAACAGAGCAGCCAGAUGUCUGUCUGAGAGGCCAGCCAGAGGCAGAGGACCACAUGGAGGGGCAGGGGUGAUGGGGGCAAUCAGGAGGGAGAGGCAGGGCAGUUAAGGGUCUUUUAGGUGUAAACAAAUCCACUUGGAUCAGGGAUUCAGAAGGUAGUGUGACAAAUUUAAAGAGCGGAGAAGAUGAGCUUGGCGGUUGUCUUAGCUAUGUUGGCUUAGGAAAAAACUGGGCAGCAGAGCACAGGUACCAGGGAGCUAUAGCAUUCUCUUUUCUUUCAGUACAUGCCUGUUCACUUUAAAACCCAGCUCCCUUUUGUAAUACAUUGUAUUAAAGCUCAAGACUAAAAUAAAUGUUAUUAUUUUGCGUGUUUGUUUUUUUUU